CAGUCGCCACGGUAAUACGAAGGGUGCAAGCGUUAAUCGGAAUUACUGGGCGUAAAGCGCGCGUAGGUGGUUUGGUAAGAUGGAUGUGAAAUCCCCGGGCUCAACCUGGGAACUGCAUCCAUAACUGCCUGACUAGAGUACGGUAGAGGGUGGUGGAAUUUCCUGUGUAGCGGUGAAAUGCGUAGAUAUAGGAAGGAACACCAGUGGCGAAGGCGACCACCUGGACUGAUACUGACACUGAGGUGCGAAAGCGUGGGGAGCAAACAGGAUUAGAUACCCGAGUAGUCCCUGUCUCUUAUAU
Molecule: ribosomal RNA, 301 nt
Filed under: uncultured bacterium
Lineage: Bacteria
Description: partial 16S ribosomal RNA
Rfam family: Bacterial small subunit ribosomal RNA
Source: RNAcentral